This 253-nucleotide ribosomal RNA is filed under the name uncultured bacterium. RNAcentral's name for it is "partial 16S ribosomal RNA". It matches the Rfam family "Bacterial small subunit ribosomal RNA", at positions 524 to 776 of the family's 1533-position model. The record is from RNAcentral.
UACGUAGGCAGCGAGCGUUGUUCGGAGUUACUGGGCGUAAAGAGUGCGUAGGCGGUUUUCUAAGUUUGGUGUGGAAUCUCCCGGCUCAACUGGGAGGGUGCGCCGAAGACUGGAAGGCUUGAGUAUGGGAGAGGUAAGCGGAAUUCCUGGUGUAGCGGUGAAAUGCGUAGAUAUCAGGAGGAACACCUGCGGUGUAGACGGCUUACUGGACCAUAACUGACGCUGAGGCACGAAAGCGUGGGUAGCAAACAGG